This 465-nucleotide ribosomal RNA is filed under the name uncultured bacterium. Its description in RNAcentral is "bacterial SSU rRNA". It matches the Rfam family "Bacterial small subunit ribosomal RNA", at positions 329 to 792 of the family's 1533-position model. The record is from RNAcentral.
GACCAGACUCCUACGGGAGGCAGCAGUGAGGAAUAUUGGUCAAUGGGCUUACGCCUGAACCAGCCAAGUCGCGUGAGGGAAGACUGCCCUAUGGGUUGUAAACCUCUUUUGUCAGGGAGCAAAGGGCGCCACGUGUGGCGCUUUGCGAGUACCUGAAGAAAAAGCAUCGGCUAACUCCGUGCCAGCAGCCGCGGUAAUACGGAGGAUGCGAGCGUUAUCCGGAUUUAUUGGGUUUAAAGGGUGCGUAGGCGGGAUGCCAAGUCAGCGGUCAAAUACGGGGGCUCAACCAGCGUCCGCCGUUGAAACUGGCGUUCUUGAGUGGGCGAGAAGUACGCGGAAUGCGUGGUGUAGCGGUGAAAUGCAUAGAUAUCACGCAGAACCCCGAUUGCGAAGGCAGCAUACCGGCGCUCAACUGACGCUGAGGCACGAAAGUGCGGGUAUCGAACAGGAUUAGAUACCCCCGUA